This 218-nucleotide long non-coding RNA is filed under the name Mytilus galloprovincialis (Mediterranean mussel). Lineage: Eukaryota; Metazoa; Mollusca; Bivalvia; Mytilida; Mytilidae. The record is from RNAcentral.
AUGUGUUUUUAGUGCUAUAGAUAUGGUACAUGUUUAACCUGAAGCUGAAGAAUUUAUAACCUUAUAUGUGGUGUAACAUAUGGGACAUAUAAAAACAAUCAAAAUUUAAUAAAUGUAUUAUUGCCUGACAGCUGAAUAGGAAGAUAAUCGCUACAUUUGAUGACCGUGGAAAAUAGUUUUGAAAUAGAAUAUAUAUAUUGACGAAAAAAACAAUUGGC